CGGACGGGUGAGUAACGCGUGGGUAACCUGCCUCACACUGGGGGAUAACAGUUAGAAAUAGCUGCUAAUACCGCAUAAGCGCACAGUUCCGCAUGGAACAGUGUGAAAAACUCCGGUGGUGCGAGAUGGACCCGCGUCUGAUUAGCCAGUUGGCGGGGUAACGGCCCACCAAAGCGACGAUCAGUAGCCGGCCUGAGAGGGUGAACGGCCACAUUGGGACUGAGACACGGCCCAGACUCCUACGGGAGGCAGCAUG
This 256-nucleotide ribosomal RNA is filed under the name uncultured bacterium. RNAcentral describes it as "partial 16S ribosomal RNA". It matches the Rfam family "Bacterial small subunit ribosomal RNA", at positions 99 to 353 of the family's 1533-position model. The record is from RNAcentral.